RNAcentral lists this ribosomal RNA (506 nucleotides) under uncultured bacterium. Its description in RNAcentral is "partial 16S ribosomal RNA". It matches the Rfam family "Bacterial small subunit ribosomal RNA", at positions 30 to 523 of the family's 1533-position model. The record is from RNAcentral.
AUUGAACGCUGGCGGCAGGCCUAACACAUGCAAGUCGAACAGUAACAGAAAGCAGCUUGCUGCUUUGCUGACGAGUGGCGGACGGGUGAGUAAUGUCUGGGAAACUGCCUGAUGGAGGGGGAUAACUACUGGAAACGGUAGCUAAUACCGCAUAACGUCGCAAGACCAAAGAGGGGGACCUUCGGGCCUCUUGCCAUCGGAUGUGCCCAGAUGGGAUUAGCUAGUAGGUGGGGUAACGGCUCACCUAGGCGACGAUCCCUAGCUGGUCUGAGAGGAUGACCAGCCACACUGGAACUGAGACACGGUCCAGACUCCUACGGGAGGCAGCAGUGGGGAAUAUUGCACAAUGGGCGCAAGCCUGAUGCAGCCAUGCCGCGUGUAUGAAGAAGGCCUUCGGGUUGUAAAGUACUUUCAGCGAGGAGGAAGGUGUUGUGGUUAAUAACCACAGCAAUUGACGUUACUCGCAGAAGAAGCACCGGCUAACUCCGUGCCAGCCGCCGCCGUAA